GCAUAUCAAUAAGCGGAGGAAAAGAAACCAACAGGGAUUGCCUUAGUAACGGCGAGUGAAGCGGCAACAGCUCAAAUUUGAAAUCUGGCCCUCGGGUCCGAAUUGUAAUUUGUAGAGGAUGAUUUUGGUGCGGUAUCUUCCGAGUUCCUUGGAACAGGACGCCUUAGAGGGUGAGAGCCCCGUACGGUUGAAUGCCUAGCCUCUGUAAAUCUCCUUCGACGAGUCGAGUAGUUUGGGAAUGCUGCUCUAAAUGGGAGGUAAAUUUCUUCUAAAGCUAAAUAUUGGCCAGAGACCGAUAGCGCACAAGUAGAGUGAUCGAAAGAUGAAAAGCACUUUGAAAAGAGGGUUAAAUAGCACGUGAAAUUGUUGAAAGGGAAGGAUUUGUGACCAGACUUUUUCUGGGCGGAUCAUCCGGGGUUAUCUCCGGUGCACUUUGCCCAGUAAAGGCCAGCAUCGAUUUUCGGCGGCGGAUAAAAGCAGUGGGAAUGUGGCUCCCUACGGGGAGUGUUAUAGCCCAUUGUAUAAUACGCUGCUGGGGAUCGAGGUACGCGCUUCUGCAAGGAUGCUGGCGUAAUGGUUAUCAAUCACCCGUCUUGAAACACGGACCAAGGAGUCGAACAUUUAUGCGAGUGUUUGGGUGUUAAACCCUCACGCGUAAUGAAAGUGAACGGAGGUGAGAGCCCGUACGGGUGCAUCAUCGACCGAUCCUGAAGUUUUCGGAUGGAUUUGAGUAAGAGCAUAACUGUUCGGACCCGAAAGAUGGUGAACUAUGCGUGGAUAGGGUGAAGCCAGAGGAAACUCUGGUGGAGGCUCGCAGCGGUUCUGACGUGCAAAUCGAUCGUCAAAUCUGCGCAUGGGGGGCGAAAGACUAAUCGAMCCAUCUAGUAGCUGGUUACCGCCGAAG
Molecule: ribosomal RNA, 904 nt
Filed under: Pestalotiopsis neglecta
Lineage: Eukaryota; Fungi; Ascomycota; Sordariomycetes; Amphisphaeriales; Sporocadaceae
Description: LSU rRNA
Rfam family: Eukaryotic large subunit ribosomal RNA
Source: RNAcentral